This 1478-nucleotide ribosomal RNA is filed under the name uncultured Bordetella sp. RNAcentral's name for it is "partial 16S-23S ribosomal RNA intergenic spacer". It matches the Rfam family "Bacterial small subunit ribosomal RNA". The record is from RNAcentral. Lineage: Bacteria; Pseudomonadati; Pseudomonadota; Betaproteobacteria; Burkholderiales; Alcaligenaceae.
AACAGAGAGUUUGAUCCUGGCUCAGAUUGAACGCUGGCGGGAUGUUUACACAUGCAAAGUCGAACGGCAGCACGGACUUCGGUCUGGUGGCGAGUGGCGAACGGGUGAGUAAUGUAUCGGAACGUGCUCAGUGGGGAUAACUACGCGAAAGGUAGCUAAUACCGCAUACGCCCUUCGGGGGAAAGCGGGGGACCUCGGGCCUCGCACUAUUAGAGCGGCCGAUAUCGGAUUAGCUAGUUGGUGGGUAACGGCUCACCAAGGCGACGAUCCGUAGCUGGUUUGAGAGGACGACCAGCCACACUGGGACUGAGACACGCCCAGACUCCUACGGGAGGCAGCAGUGGGGAAUUUUGACAAUGGGGGAAACCCUGAUCCAGCCAUCCCGCGUGUGCGAUGAAGGCUCGGGUUGUAAAGCACUUUCAGCAGGAUAAAGAAACGGCACGGGAUAAUACCCCGUGCAACUGACGGUACCUGCAGAAUAAGCACCGGCUAACUACGUGCCAGCAGCCGCGGUAAUACGUAGGGUGCAAGCGUUAACGGAAUUACUGGGCGUAAAAGCGUGCGCAGGCGGUUCGGAAAGAAAGAUGUGAAAUCCCAGAGCUUAACUUUGAACUGCAUUUUUAACUACUGAGCUAGAGUGUCAGAGGGAGGUGGAAUUCGCGUGUAGCAGUGAAUGCGUAGAUAUGGAGGAACACCGAUGGCGAAGGCAGCCCUCCCGGGGAUAACACUGACGCUCAUGCACGAAAGCGGGGAGCAAACAGGAUUAGAUACCCUGGUAGUCCACGCCCCAAACGAUGUCAACUAGCUGUUGGGGCCUUCGGGCCUUGCAGCGCAGCUAACGCGGUGAAGUUGACCGCCUGGGGAGUACGGUCGCAAGAUUAAAACUCAAAGGAAUUGACGGGGACCCGCACAAGCGGUGGAUGAUGGGGAUUAAUCUGAUGCAACGCGAAAAACCUUACCUACCCUUGGACAUGUCUGGAAUCCCGAAGAGAUUUGGGGAGUACCGCAAGAGAACCGGAACACAGGUGUUGCAUGGCUGUCGUCAGCUCGUGUCGUGAGAUGUUGGGUUAAGUCCCGCAACGAGCGCAACCCUUGUCAUUAGUUGCUACGAAAGGGCACUCCCAUCGAGACUGCCGGUGACAAACCGGAGGAAGGUGGGGAUGACGUCAAGUCCUCAUGGCCCUAUGGGUAGGGCUUCACACGUCAUACAAUGGUCGGGACAGAGGGUCGCCAACCCGCGAGGGGGAGCCAAUCCCAGAAACCCGAUCGUGGUCCGGAUCGCAGUCUGCAACUCGACUGUGUGAAGUCGGAAUCGCUAGUAAUCGCGGAUCAGCAUGUCGCGGUGAAUACGUUCCCGGGUCUUGUACACACCGCCCGUCACACCAUGGGAGUGGGUUUUACCAGAAGUAGUUAGCCUAACCGUAAGGAGGGCGAUUACCACGGUAGGAUUCAUGACUGGAGUGAAGUCAACAAGGUAA